Molecule: ribosomal RNA, 459 nt
Filed under: uncultured Pelotomaculum sp.
Lineage: Bacteria; Bacillati; Bacillota; Clostridia; Eubacteriales; Desulfotomaculaceae
Description: bacterial SSU rRNA
Rfam family: Bacterial small subunit ribosomal RNA
Source: RNAcentral
CACAAGCGGUGGAGCAUGUGGUUAAUUCGACGCAACGCGAAGAACCUUACCAGGGCUUGACAUCCCCUGACCGCGUAUGAAAGUACGUUUUCACCCUCGGGUGACAGGGAGACAGGUGGUGCAUGGUUGUCGUCAGCUCGUGUCGUGAGAUGUUGGGUUAAGUCCCGCAACGAGCGCAACCCCUACGUUUAGUUGCUAACGCGUGAAGGCGAGCACUCUAGACGAACUGCCGUUGACAAAACGGAGGAAGGUGGGAUGACGUCAAAUCAUCAUGCCCCUUAUGUUCUGGGCUACACACGUGCUACAAUGGCCGGUACAGACGGAGGCGAAGCCGCGAGGCGGAGCAAAUCCGAAAAAGCCGGUCUCAGUUCGGAUUGCAGGCUGCAAUUCGCCUGCAUGAAGUCGGAAUCGCUAGUAAUCGCAGGUCAGCAUACUGCGGUGAAUACGUUCCCGGGCCUU